Molecule: ribosomal RNA, 792 nt
Filed under: uncultured bacterium
Lineage: Bacteria
Description: bacterial SSU rRNA
Rfam family: Bacterial small subunit ribosomal RNA
Source: RNAcentral
GGAGUUUGAUCAUGGCUCAGAUUGAACGCUGGCGGCAUGCUUUACACAUGCAAGUCGAGCGGCAGCGCGGGACUCAGGCAACUGAGCCCUGGCGGCGAGCGGCGGACGGGUGAGUAAUACAUCGGAACGUAUCCCGUAGUGGGGGAUAACCCGGCGAAAGCCGGGCUAAUACCGCAAAUGCUCUACGGAGGAAAGCGGGGGACCCGGCAGGCAACUGAGGGGCCUCGCGCUAUGGGAGCGGCCGAUGGCCGAUUAGCUAGUUGGCGGGGUAAAGGCCCACCAAGGCGACGAUCGGUAGCUGGUCUGAGAGGAUGAUCAGCCACACUGGGACUGAGACACGGCCCAGACUCCUACGGGAGGCAGCAGUGGGGAAUUUUGGACAAUGGGGGCAACCCUGAUCCAGCCAUGCCGCGUGCGGGAAGAAGGCCUUCGGGUUGUAAACCGCUUUUAGUCGGGAAGAAAGGGUUCUCUUGAAUAGGGGGGAUCUUUGACGGUACCGGCGGAAUAAGCACCGGCUAACUACGUGCCAGCGGCCGCGGUAAUACGUAGGGUGCGAGCGUUAAUCGGAAUUACUGGGCGUAAAGCGUGCGUAGGCGGUUCCUCAAGUCCGUUGUGAAAGCCCCGGGCUCAACCUGGGAAUGGCAGUGGAAACUAGGGGACUGGAAUCUGGCAGAGGGGGGUGGAAUGCCGCGUGUAGCAGUGAAAUGCGUAGAGAUGCGGCGGAACACCGAUGGCGAAGGCAGCCCCCUGGGCUGAGAUUGACGCUCAGGCACGAAAGCGUGGGGAGCAAAC